AUGCAGGGGCCCGACGGGAGCUCCAAAGGACGCUCCAGACUGGGCCCUUCCCACGCAGGCUGCCUCAUUCGGACAUCAGUAACUGUCCCCUCUGGAGAGCAGCGGGGCGGGAUCCAGGAGGGACCCCGUGGGGCACCCCUCCGGAGAGCAGCGGGGCGGGAUCCAGGAGGGACCCCAUGGGGCGCCCCUCCUGAGAGCAGCGGGAUGGGAUCCGGGAGGGACCCCGUGGGGCGCCCCUCCGGAGAGCAGCGGGGCGGGAUCCGGGAGGGAGGCCGUGGGGCGCCCCUCCGGAGAGCAGCGGGAUGGGAUCCGGGAGGGAGGCCGUGGGACGCCCCUCCGGAGAGCAGCGGGAUGGGAUCCGGGAGGGACCCCGUGGGGCACCCCUCUGAAGAGCAGCAGGGCGGGAUCCAGGAGGGAGGCCGCUGGGGCGCCCCUCCGGAGAGCAGCGGGGCGGGAUCCGGGAGGGACCCCGUGGGGCGCCCCUCCGGAGAGCAGCAGGAUGGGAUCCAGGAGGGAGGCCACUGGGGUGCCCCUCCAGAGAGCAGCGGGGCGGGAUCCGGGAGGGAGGCCGUGGGGCGCCCCUCCGGAGAGCAGCGGGAUGGGAUCCGGGAGGGAGGCCGUGGGACGCCCCUCCGGAGAGCAGCGGGAUGGGAUCCGGGAGGGACCCCGUGGGGCACCCCUCUGAAGAGCAGCAGGGCGGGAUCCAGGAGGGAGGCCGCUGGGGCGCCCCUCCGGAGAGCAGCGGGGCGGGAUCCGGGAGGGACCCCGUGGGGCGCCCCUCCGGAGAGCAGCAGGAUGGGAUCCAGGAGGGAGGCCACUGGGGUGCCCCUCCAGAGAGCAGCGGGGCGGGAUCCGGGAGGGACCCCGUGGGGCGCCCCUCCGGAGAGCAGCAGGAUGGGAUCCAGGAGGGAGGCCACUGGGGUGCCCCUCCAGAGAGCAGCGGGAUGGGAUCCCAGGAGGGACCCCGUGGGGCGCCCCUCCGAAGAGCAGCGGGGCGGGAUCCGGGAGGGAGGCCACUUCCCGCCAUCUGGGCGGCUCUUCUUCCAUGACUCGGGGAACUCUCCGGCGGGGACUCGGGCGCCCUCUCAGCCAGAACCGGCCCAGCCCCUGCUCGCGUGCCGAUGCCCCAGCCGCCCAAACAGAAGGCCUCCCUGUGAGCAAGUCGGACACGCCGGCCUGUGGUGUCCUGUGCCGGCAGGCGCUCAUCCUCCCCGUCGACCGGAGCGACCACCGAAGCACCAGAGCAGCUCCAAAAGGGCCCUCCUGAGUCGGGACAAGCGAGCCCGGGCGCUUCUGGCCGCCCCAGGCACGGGAAUUCCGAGGAGCUACAGGGCCUGCGCUCCUGCUCAUCCCUAG
Long non-coding RNA from Monodelphis domestica (gray short-tailed opossum), 1356 nucleotides. The record is from Ensembl. NCBI's taxonomy places the organism in Eukaryota, Metazoa, Chordata, Mammalia, Didelphimorphia, Didelphidae.